AACGAACGCUGGCGGCAUGCCUAACACAUGCAAGUCGAACGAGACCUUCGGGUCUAGUGGCGCACGGGUGCGUAACACGUGGGAAUUUGCCUCGGGGUAUGGAAUAACUCAGGGAAACUUGAGCUAAUACCAUAUAAUGUCUUCGGACCAAAGAUUUAUCGCCCUGAGAUAAGCCCGCGUAGGAUUAGCUAGUUGGUGGGGUAAAAGGCUCACCAAGGCGACGAUCCUUAGCUGGUCUGAGAGGAUGAUCAGCCACACUGGGACUGAGACACGGCCCAGACUCCUACGGGAGGCAGCAGUGGGGAAUAUUGGACAAUGGGCGAAAGCCUGAUCCAGCAAUGCCGCGUGAGUGAUGAAGGCCUC
Molecule: ribosomal RNA, 363 nt
Filed under: uncultured bacterium
Lineage: Bacteria
Description: bacterial SSU rRNA
Rfam family: Bacterial small subunit ribosomal RNA
Source: RNAcentral